Molecule: non-coding RNA, 543 nt
Organism: Nicotiana tabacum (common tobacco)
Lineage: Eukaryota; Viridiplantae; Streptophyta; Magnoliopsida; Solanales; Solanaceae
Source: RefSeq, a predicted model, not a curated record
CUGAGACGCGAGCCCAGGGUUGAAUUUUUUAGUUGACUUUUUAUUUCUCUUUAAAGAUCGUAACUUUAUUGUUCAGAAUAGUUUCUUUUAGUUUAUAUUUAUAGUAUGAAGUUGUUUUAGCUAGAUUCGAGCCGUCCGGAGUUGGAUAAUCGAGGGAAAGACUUACUAGUGGAUUGAGUUAGCAUGUUUUAAGGUUUAGUUGGCUUGGAGGCUUGAUCAAAAGGCAAUGUCGUGGUUGAUUGAUCGCUUGGGUUGCGGGGUGAGAUAACGGAGUGGGUCAUGAGCGAUGUUCAGUAGAUUUACGCGGAUCCAGUUAUGGACGAAGACUUGAUGUACAGCUGUACAACAUUCGAAGUCAUGAAGUCCUCUUUCCUCCUAUCUUUACUAUUUUUUUUCUGAGUUCAAAACAAUGUAUUUUAUUCAGACCCUGUUUUUAGCGCUCUAGACAUUCAUGUAGUCGUGACACCAGUUUUUGGGUUAAGUUUAGGCUCGUUAUUCAGUAUUGUUAUACUAUACUUCAGACUUAUAUUGUUUUCAUUGUAA